GAUGAACGCUAGCGACAGGCCUAACACAUGCAAGUCGAGGGGCAGCACAUGAGUAGCAAUACGAUGGUGGCGACCGGCGCACGGGUGAGUAACACGUAUGCAACCUACCUGUAAGAGGGGAAUAACCCGGAGAAAUUCGGACUAACACCGCAUAAUACCUCGAAGCUGCAUGGCUUUGAGGUUAAAUAUUUAUAGCUUACAGAUGGGCAUGCGUAACAUUAGAUAGUUGGUGAGGUAACGGCUCACCAAGUCAACGAUGUUUAGGGGUUCUGAGAGGAAGGUCCCCCACACUGGUACUGAGACACGGACCAGACUCCUACGGGAGGCAGCAGUGAGGAAUAUUGGUCAAUGGGCGAGAGCCUGAACCAGCCAAGUCGCGUGAAGGAAGAAGGUUCUAUGGAUUGUAAACUUCUUUUGUAAGGGAAUAAAAGGUUACGUGUAACUUAUUGUAUGUAUUUACGAAUAAGGAUCGGCUAACUCCGUGCCAGCAGCCGCGGUAA
RNAcentral lists this ribosomal RNA (500 nucleotides) under uncultured bacterium. RNAcentral describes it as "bacterial SSU rRNA". It matches the Rfam family "Bacterial small subunit ribosomal RNA", at positions 28 to 523 of the family's 1533-position model. The record is from RNAcentral.